CCUACGGGAGGCAGCAGUAGGGAAUCUUCCACAAUGGGCGAAAGCCUGAUCGAGCAACGCCGCGUGGGUGAAGAAGGUCUUCGGAUCGUAAAACCCUGUUGUUAGAGAAGAAAGUGCGUGAGAGUAACUGUUCACGUUUCGACGGUAUCUAACCAGAAAGCCACGGCUAACUACGUGCCAGCAGCCGCGGUAAUACGUAGGUGGCAAGCGUUAUCCGGAUUUAUUGGGCGUAAAGGGAACGCAGGCGGUCUUUUAAGUCUGAUGUGAAAGCCUUCGGCUUAACCGGAGUAGGGCAUUGGAAACUGGGAGACUUGAGUGCAGAAGAGGAGAGUGGAACUCCAUGUGUAGCGGUGAAAUGCGUAGAUAUAUGGAAGAACACCAGUGGCGAAAGCGGCUCUCUGGUCUGUAACUGACGCUGAGGUUCGAAAGCGUGGGUAGCAAACAGGAUUAGAUACCCCAGUAGUC
Molecule: ribosomal RNA, 465 nt
Filed under: uncultured bacterium
Lineage: Bacteria
Description: partial 16S ribosomal RNA
Rfam family: Bacterial small subunit ribosomal RNA
Source: RNAcentral